GCCCCUCCCACCCCCAGCACAUAUACUAAAAUUGGAACGAUACAGAGAAGAUUAGCAUGGCCCCUGCGCAGCUUUCCAUCUUUAGCAGUGUAUCACAGUGGU
Small nuclear RNA from Sciurus carolinensis (gray squirrel), 102 nucleotides. NCBI's taxonomy places the organism in Eukaryota, Metazoa, Chordata, Mammalia, Rodentia, Sciuridae. The record is from RefSeq and is a predicted model, not a curated record.